Molecule: ribosomal RNA, 592 nt
Filed under: Helicoma isiola
Lineage: Eukaryota; Fungi; Ascomycota; Dothideomycetes; Tubeufiales; Tubeufiaceae
Description: eukaryotic LSU rRNA
Rfam family: Eukaryotic large subunit ribosomal RNA
Source: RNAcentral
AAGCGGAGGAAAAGAAACCAACAGGGAUUGCCUUAGUAACGGCGAGUGAAGCGGCAAUAGCUCAAAUUUGAAAUCUGGCGUCUUUGGGCGUCCGAGUUGUAAUUUGUAGAGGAUGUUUCGGUAUUAGCUCCGGUCUAAGUCCCUUGGAACAGGGUGUCGCAGAGGGUGAGAAUCCCGUACGCGACCGGUCGCUUUUGCCAUGUGAAACUCCUUCGACGAGUCGAGUUGUUUGGGAAUGCAGCUCUAAUUGGGAGGUAAAUUUCUUCUAAAGCUAAAUACUGGCCAGAGACCGAUAGCGCACAAGUAGAGUGAUCGAAAGAUGAAAAGCACUUUGGAAAGAGAGUUAAAAAGUACGUGAAAUUGUUGAAAGGGAAGCGCUUGCAAUCAGACCUGCUUGCAGUUGUUCAUCUAGGCUUUUGUCUAGUGCACUCUUCUGUAAGUCAGGCCAGUAUCGGUUCGGGCGGUUGGAUAAAGAAUUCAGGAAUGUAGCUCUUCUCGGAGAGUGUUAUAGCCUGUUUUGUAAUGCAACCAGCCCGGAUCGAGGACCGCGCUUCGGCUAGGAUACUGGCGUAAUGGUUGUAAGCGGCCCGUC